CCAGGCAGACCCGGAGGCGGCUGCCAACCCCUGCGGCGCCCGCUUUCCCCUCGGCCUGCGGGCUGGGGUUGGGAGGUGCAGAGUCGCGUGCAGCUCGCCUCCUGCAGGGAAGAGGCCCCGCAGGAUGGACUGAAGGUGUGGAAUUGACCGGUCUUUCCAUCCAGGACUCACUGGUGGCCAUCACACUGUGAUACUAGUUCCAUAUAACGCCAUCUCCCACAGAGAAAACAGAAUUACUAAACAUGCUGAUUUUUUACAGAUACUAAGGUGCGAUGACAAAGGAACCGAGAUCGAGGGCAGAAUUCUUGCCAUUCUUGCCAUUCUCUGCCAUGGCCAGUGGCCAUGAACUGAGGCUCAAGAAGUUUGCUCAAGUCAUGGCAGGGCAGACAACAUUGAUGUCCCUUCAGGCACCAGUCAGGCCUUUCCCUGGAUGGGAGAUCUCCUGACUCAGCAGUAACAGGCUCUGAGACUAGCCGAAUCCACCACCAGCACUGCAGACAACUGUUUCUGCCCCAAUCUAGUCGGUAAUGAGUCACCCAGAAAGCCGUAAGUGCUUUGCUAUUGAAAGAACCUAGGUCUGGAGUAGAUGACCCAAUUUCCUUGGAAAGAAGAAAUCAUGUCUAUGAGUUCUGGGAGUACUUAUUGGGCACCUACUCUGUGCCAGGCAGAAUUCUAGGAGACCCAUAGAAGAGCCCUAUUCCUCCCAAACCUUCUGGACUAGCUGCGACCAAACAAUGGGCUUCCGCCUCUAGAAUUCAUCAUCCAAGAAUCCAUCAGAUACUUACUGACAGGCUGAGAGAAUAGAAACGAAUUGGACUGCCACAUGAGGUGACAUAAACAAUGUAGAGUACCAGCCCAGUGCCUGACAUGCACCAGGCCACCUAGAUGCUCAGCAGUUUCUUUUUCUUACCCCACUAUGUGUCAUUCAUUGGCCGUGCAAGUCCCCAUGAGGAAACAAAAAAAGCAGCAUCUGCAAGAUUCUGGAAAGUAAAAGCUCUGUGGACCUCCCAGCCCAGAGUUCCGGGGAUUUCCUUCAGCGUGUCCCAAAUCUCUAACCUUACACCCUAAUGGUCAUGGGUUCUUUAUUGGCUCUUCCUAAGAGAACUAAGGACAGUAGUAUUUGCAGAAGGCUAAAAGGAGGGAGGGAACUCACCAUGGUUUCUUGGGUUUCUGGCUCCAUAGGUCAGAGAUCUCAGUUGCAUUGCCGGUCCCAACAGCAGUCUAAUUUAUGCACGCCUUUGUCACUGAAUUCCCAUAGACACCAUUUAUGGUUGUCUCUCUAAUAUAUAUCAUAUACUAUAGCGUUCUCUAUUGUGCUUCUUUGUCCCCAUGUUAUUUCCUAUUGUCACACUGUGGUUUCAUCCCUCUUCCUUCCCCCACACGGGGCCUAGAACACCAUAGGUGCUCCAGUUCAAUCUUUGCUGAAUGAAACAAUGCGUUAGGCAAAUUCCAUCUCGGUGCCUCAGUUUCCCUCAUCAACCUGUAGGAGGCCCUGGAAGUCCAGUCCUUUGCCAUAGCCUACGUAAGCCUUUCCUAAGUCUUCUGACCACCCAAGGAGCCAGUGCUGGAGACACGGACGUGGCCAUCUAGCUCACAUGCCUCAGCCAGCAGCUCCCAGCCCUCACCAGGCCUACCUCUUCACCACCAGGGAAAGGUUGUUUGCCUCUAGGCCAGCUCCUGCCCCUCCCACUACACGCGGCUCAGGGGAGGAGAGAACACAGUUUCCCUCUAGCAGAAUCUCUAGUAAAGGACAGGCCUAGAGCACGCAGCAGUUUGUUUCCAUGCUCUGCCUCGUUCUCGGGUCUUAGGUGCCAAGUGAUGGAACAUCUGGCCUCUCUGGUGCCCUCUUUUUCAUCUUUUGGCAUAAAUCUUUACCCCAAAUUCCAGAGGAAAUCCAGGCAGGACCCUCAGAAGUCUUCACUUCCGAUUAUUACCCUGAGAUGGGUUCUGUGAGCAAGAGAUAGUCAUGCCUGCUAGCUGCCAAACCUGAGUCCUCCAAGGAGGGCCGCGAGCUCCCCCAGCUACCUCUAGCUCCCAGCAAAUCACA
Molecule: long non-coding RNA, 2047 nt
Organism: Lynx canadensis (Canada lynx)
Lineage: Eukaryota; Metazoa; Chordata; Mammalia; Carnivora; Felidae
Exons: 3
Source: RefSeq, a predicted model, not a curated record